RNAcentral lists this ribosomal RNA (802 nucleotides) under uncultured bacterium. RNAcentral's name for it is "bacterial SSU rRNA". It matches the Rfam family "Bacterial small subunit ribosomal RNA", at positions 8 to 796 of the family's 1533-position model. The record is from RNAcentral.
AGAGUUUGAUCAUGGCUCAGGACGAACGCUGGCGGCGUGCUUAACACAUGCAAGUGGAGCGACGAACCGGGGCUUGCCCCGGGGCAGAGCCGCGAACGGGUGAGUAACACGUGGGUAACCUACCCUGAUGACCGGGACAACCCGAGGAAACUCGGGCUAAUACCGGAUGUGCUCCUUGACCUCGAGGUCAAGGCGUAAAGAUAGCUUCGGCCUUCGCAUCAGGACGGGCCCGCGGCCCAUUAGCUUGUUGGUGGGGUAACGGCCCACCAAGGCGACGAUGGGUAGCUGGUCUGAGAGGACGAUCAGCCACACUGGGACUGAGACACGGCCCAGACUCCUACGGGAGGCAGCAGUGGGGAAUCUUGCGCAAUGCGCGAAAGCGUGACGCAGCAACGCCGCGUGGGGGAAGACGGCCUUCGGGUUGUAAACCCCUUUCAGUUGGGACGAAGCUUCGCCGGUGAAUAGCCGGCUGGAGUGACGGUACCUUCACAAGAAGCCCCGGCUAACUACGUGCCAGCAGCCGCGGUAAUACGUAGGGGGCUAGCGUUGUCCGGAAUCAUUGGGCGUAAAGCGCGUGUAGGCGGUUCGGUAAGUCCGCUGUGAAAGUCGGGGGCUCAACCCUCGAAAGCCGGUGGAUACUGUCGGGCUAGAGUACGGAAGAGGCGAGUGGAAUUCCUGGUGUAGCGGUGAAAUGCGCAGAUAUCAGGAGGAACACCAAUUGCGAAGGCAGCUCGCUGGGACGUUACUGACGCUGAGACGCGAAAGCGUGGGGAGCAAACAGGAUUAGAUACCCUAGUAGUCC